CAUCAACUUUCAAUGGUCACACUGCAUAAGCACAGCCCUGAUGGCUUGAGCGUCGACGUGUGCCAUUCAGAUCCCGCAGGCGCGGUCGGAUCAUACAUCAGAGUCUGAUACCCAGGCUCUUCCUCCUGGGAAAACAGCAGCAGCUUCCCAUCAAGCACCCCAAGGCUGAACAGAGUGGCUGAGCUACCGGUAAGCGGCACCGGGAUCUUCUGCCAUGAACUGUCUGAAGGGUUGAAGAUCGCGAGUGACCGCUGGUUCUUCCACUCGAUGCAGAACAGCCUUUUGUUGAUGACAGCAUGAGAGGUGACCAUGACACAACCCUUCUUGAUCUCGGUCCAGGAAUGGAGAAUGGGAUCAUACACGUCAAUGAAACGGGAAUUGCCAAUGGUGAAGCUUGACCGGCCACCCAUGAUGUAGAGCUUGCCGUUGAAGCUGCAGGCAAAGGAGCCCCACCUUGGUCUGCGAAGGCUCUCUAUUAUUGUCCAUUUGUUUCUUUGUGGAUCAUAUACUUCAACACUUGACAAGCCAUCGCCAUCAGAACCAAAUCCACCAGCAACAUAUACUGCACCAUUGACCUCUGCACAUGCGAAGUCACGACGGGCCACGUUCAUCUUGGCCAGUGCAGCCCACCUGAACGAGCAUCAUACUGAUAAACUUCAUCAGAAACACAUUCUUUUCCAUAAUCAACACCAUAGCCAGCCAUGACAAGCAGCUUUCCAUCAAGAACAACCACACUAAAUCCAGCUUUAGUCAGUCCAGGCAUAGGAGGAAGCAUCCUAUUCUGCUGCUCCAGGCUCCCCAGCACCUCCCAAUAGGGUCCCUUUCCUCCAUCUCCAGUGAUCAGGGCAUAAAUCCGCUCUUCAAGCCUCCCGACCUCCUUCCUAACAGCAAUGAACUCCUUGCUCCCAAUGAAUGACAUCCAACUCUUGGACACUGCACCCAUGACAGGGAAGUAGCUCCGAGGGACAAGGGCAAGGCAUACUUUCGCUAAGUCUUCUGGCAAACCAGGUAUCAGUGCUCCGUAUGAAUCACCUUGGGUUCUAGUAGGAAACUUCAGCUGCAUUGUAGCAGGGAGGUUGGUCUGUGCUUUAACAAAUGGCUCUCUUGCUCCAACAAGUGUUAGCAUUGCCACAAGCAGCAGCAGGGCACCUUUUAGGCUUUAGCACUUCGUUUUGUUAACACUAAACAGCUUAAAUGAUCCCUUUUAUCACUUGCUUAGUUGCUAUGUAUCACGGCUGUCCUAGCAGGGGGAUUCAUGAUAUCCAUCACCAACGGGGAUCAUCAGAUAAAAUGGUCUGAAUGAUGCGAAAAUGAGGUUCUUCAGCUCAGAUUUCUCUGUCUUAAUCUUUUCUGUGUCAAAUGCCAUCCGAUGGUGGAAGACCUUAAAAUGGAUUCUCCUGAUCUCCUUAUUAAUGAAGUAAGAACAUGUCCCUGUCUUGCACAUUUGGCAUUCAAUAUCU
RNAcentral lists this small RNA (1460 nucleotides) under Oryza sativa Japonica Group (Japanese rice). RNAcentral describes it as "sRNA Os04g0380400". The record is from RNAcentral. Lineage: Eukaryota; Viridiplantae; Streptophyta; Magnoliopsida; Poales; Poaceae.